This 210-nucleotide long non-coding RNA is filed under the name Olea europaea (common olive). RNAcentral's name for it is "long non-coding RNA (OEUR_LNC005418)". Lineage: Eukaryota; Viridiplantae; Streptophyta; Magnoliopsida; Lamiales; Oleaceae. The record is from RNAcentral.
CCUUUUGCUUUAUGUCCUUCCUUCCUUCCUUUUAUAUUCCCUGGAUGAUCUCUUUGUGAUCAACCGCCUAAAAACUGUUGGAUCGUUCUAUAACUGCCCAUUUUCCUCGUAAUGGCCAACUUGUUAUGGAACUACAUUUUCUAACUGCUGCCAUUACUCUUUGUUGUUCAACCGUCUUCAAUUAAGUUCUUUGAAUCGUGGAACGUGAUA